GACGAACGCUGGCGGCGUGCUUAACACAUGCAAGUCGAACGAAGAGCGAUGGAAGCUUGCUUCUAUCAAUCUUAGUGGCGAACGGGUGAGUAACGCGUAAUCAACCUGCCCUUCAGAGGGGGACAACAGUUGGAAACGACUGCUAAUACCGCAUACGAUCUAAUCUCGGCAUCGAGGAUAGAUGAAAGGUGGCCUCUACAUGUAAGCUAUCACUGAAGGAGGGGAUUGCGUCUGAUUAGCUAGUUGGAGGGGUAACGGCCCACCAAGGCGAUGAUCAGUAGCCGGUCUGAGAGGAUGAACGGCCACAUUGGGACGGAGACACGGCCCAGACUCCUACGGGAGGCAGCAGUGGGGAAUCUUCCGCAAUGGACGAAAGUCUGACGGAGCAACGCCGCGUGAGUGAUGACGGCCUUCGGGUUGUAAAGCUCUGUUAAUCGGGACGAAAGGCCUUCUUGCGAAUAGGGAGAAGGAUUGACGGUACCGGAAUAGAAAGCCACGGCUAACUACGUG
RNAcentral lists this ribosomal RNA (510 nucleotides) under uncultured bacterium. RNAcentral's name for it is "partial 16S ribosomal RNA". It matches the Rfam family "Bacterial small subunit ribosomal RNA", at positions 28 to 507 of the family's 1533-position model. The record is from RNAcentral.